RNAcentral lists this long non-coding RNA (964 nucleotides) under Brassica rapa (field mustard). Its description in RNAcentral is "long non-coding RNA (BRAP_LNC001681)". Lineage: Eukaryota; Viridiplantae; Streptophyta; Magnoliopsida; Brassicales; Brassicaceae. The record is from RNAcentral.
UCCCGAACAUUAGAGCAAUACCAGCUAGUGGAUCUAUGAAGCCGACUUACAUCCGUUUCCUAACCGGAAUCAAAGCCUAUACCAAAAUAUUCUCAGUUAAGAAUCGAUAAUAGAUAGAUAGAUCUACAUGUGAAUGAUAUCUGCAAAAAAAAAAAAUACUUAAACAAUUCUCUUGUGGAUUUGUUUCAGAGAGUUGCAUUGGGAGCAAGGAAGAAUAGAUACGUGACUGAAGAGUAGAUAUCGCAGUAGAUCAUCUCUAUAUUUCUUUGUUGACACUGAUCAUGUAUCAUCAACACUAAUUAACAAAAUGUAAAUAAAUACCUCUACAUUUUGUUAUUCACCCAAGUCAACCAAGUUUUUUAAUAAUAAAAAUAAAAAAUCACAACUUUCGAGUAGAACAUAGGCUUUCGAGAAAAACUUCAUGUUAAAAUAUAAAAAUAAAAAAUCACAACUUUCAAGAAAAACUUUCAAGUUUUAAUAAUAAAAGAAAAACACAAGUUUUAAUUUACAAACGGUAACUUUCCUUUUUUCAAAACAUUUAAAAAAAAAGAAAAACACAAGUUUUAAUUUACAAAACGGUAACUUUCCUUUUUCAAGAAAACGGUAACAUUUGCAUCUCUAUAUAAACGUUGGUUUGCAUAGAGAGAAGAACCUUGUUUUCUUUCACUCUGCAGAUUCUUUGCCCCCCCUCCUUCGUCCAUGACCAUAUCUCUUUCUUUCUUCUAUGUUUUGUUCGUCCGUGUUGAUGAUCUGGUUUUAGCUUCACAAGCAUGGUGUACGCUCUUGUGUUUCUUGAGCCAUCCAUGCUCCUCUCGAUAUCUAUGUUUGUGCUGGUGAAGCUCUUCGAUCAUUCAUUGGCUCUCUCUCUCCUCCCCCCCCAACCUCAUCUUCAGGUAUACUUUUUUGGGAUCUCCAAAAAUACUUAAAAACUAAUUUUCAUCUGUUAAAAUCAUACUUAAACUAG